GAGUUUUCAACUCCCAACCCUUGCAAACCGUACCCCGUUCUGUUCUCGUUGCUUCUGGCGGGAGGCGGGAGGGCGCGGGGGGGUGUGGUGGCCUCGGCCGCCUCGCCCCUCCUCCGCCUUCCCCCCCUGGGUCCCCUCGGGGCGCCCGCCAGCGGUCAGCGAGCCGCCCGAACUUUUAUACCAACAGCAAACGUCUUCGUCUGAGCAACAAACAAAAAUAAGCAAAACUUUCAACAACGGAUCUCUUGGCUCUGGCAUCGAUGAAGAACGCAGCGAAAUGCGAUACGUAAUGCGAAUUGCAGAAUUCAGCGAGUCAUCGAAUCUUUGAACGCACAUUGCGCCCGCCAGCAUUCUGGCGGGCAUGCCUGUCCGAGCGUCAUUUCCCCCCUCAGCGCACCCUUUGCGCUGGCGUUGGGGCUCCUCCGCCCCGCUCGUGGGCGGCAGGGCCCUCAAAACCAGUGGCGGGCCCAGCUGGUGGCUCCGAGCGCAGUACCGAACGCAUCGUUCUCCUCUCGCUCUGCAGCUCCGGCCGGCGCCCAGCCGUCAAGCCGCGCGGGCGGUCCUCAGCGUCUUUUCGCCGAGCCGCCUCGCACUUUGUACCAAGGUUGACCUCGGAUCAGGUAGGACUACCCGCUGAACUUAAGCAUAUCA
Molecule: small RNA, 651 nt
Filed under: Ophiostoma bicolor
Lineage: Eukaryota; Fungi; Ascomycota; Sordariomycetes; Ophiostomatales; Ophiostomataceae
Description: eukaryotic LSU rRNA
Rfam family: 5.8S ribosomal RNA (bases 226-379)
Source: RNAcentral